AACGAACGCUGGCGGCGGGCUUAACACAUGCAAGUCGAACGGAAAGGCCCUGCUUUUGUGGGGUGCUCGAGUGGCGGACGGGUGAGUAACAGGUGUGUAACCUGACCUUGACUUUGGGAUAACUUCAGGAAACUAGAGCUAAUAUCGGAUCGGAGACCCCGUUCCAUGGAGGGGAUUGGAACGUUUCGGCGGGUGGGGAUGGACUCGCGGCUUAUCAGCUUGUUGGUGGGGUAGUGGCUUACCAAGGCUUUGGAGGGUAGCCGGCCUGAGAGGGUGACCGGCCACAUUGGGACUGAGAUACGGCCCAGACUCCUACGGGAGGCAGCAGUGGGGAAUAGUGCACAAUGGGCGGAAGCCUGAUGCAGCAACGCCGCGUGCGGGAUGACGGCCUUCGGGUUGUAAACCGCUUUCGCCUGUGACGAAGCGUGAGUGACGGUAAUGGGUAAAGAAGCACCGGCUAACUACGUG
Molecule: ribosomal RNA, 468 nt
Filed under: uncultured bacterium
Lineage: Bacteria
Description: partial 16S ribosomal RNA
Rfam family: Bacterial small subunit ribosomal RNA
Source: RNAcentral